Molecule: ribosomal RNA, 622 nt
Filed under: Salmonella enterica
Lineage: Bacteria; Pseudomonadati; Pseudomonadota; Gammaproteobacteria; Enterobacterales; Enterobacteriaceae
Also listed under: 2 other names
Description: partial 23S ribosomal RNA
Rfam family: Bacterial large subunit ribosomal RNA
Source: RNAcentral
ACAAGCGGUGAAUGCUUUGGGGUGGGGUGACUGCGUACCUUUUGUAUAAUGGGUCAGCGACUUAUAUUCUGUAGCAAGGUUAACCGAAUAGGGGAGCCGGAGGGAAACCGAGUCUUAAUUGGGCGUUAAGUUGCAGGGUAUAGACCCGAAACCCGGUGAUCUAGCCAUGGGCAGGUUGAAGGUUGGGUAACACUAACUGGAGGACCGAACCGACUAAUGUUGAAAAAUUAGCGGAUGACCUGUGGCUGGGGGUGAAAGGCCAAUCAAACCGGGAGAUAGCUGGUUCUCCCCGAAAGCUAUUUAGGUAGCGCCUCGUGAAUUCAUCUCCGGGGGUAGAGCACUGUUUCGGCUAGGGGGCCAUCCCGGCUUACCAACCCGAUGCAAACUGCGAAUACCGGAGAAUGUUAUCACGGGAGACACACGGCGGGUGCUAACGUCCGUCGUGAAGAGGGAAACAACCCAGACCGCCAGCUAAGGUCCCAAAGUCAUGGUUAAGUGGGAAACGAUGUGGGAAGGCCCAGACAGCCAGGAUGUUGGCUUAGAAGCAGCCAUCAUUUAAAGAAAGCGUAAUAGCUCACUGGUCGAGUCGGCCUGCGCGGAAGAUGUAACGGGGCUAAACCAU